RNAcentral lists this ribosomal RNA (468 nucleotides) under uncultured bacterium. RNAcentral describes it as "partial 16S ribosomal RNA". It matches the Rfam family "Bacterial small subunit ribosomal RNA", at positions 28 to 507 of the family's 1533-position model. The record is from RNAcentral.
GACGAACGCUGGCGGCGUGCUUAACACAUGCAAGUCGAACGGAAAGGCCCUGCUUUUGUGGGGUGCUCGAGUGGCGAACGGGUGAGUAACACGUGAGUAACCUGCCCUUGACUUUGGGAUAACUUCAGGAAACUGGGGCUAAUACCGGAUAGGAGCUCCUGCUGCAUGGUGGGGGUUGGAAAGUUUCGGCGGUUGGGGAUGGACUCGCGGCUUAUCAGCUUGUUGGUGGGGUAGUGGCUUACCAAGGCUUUGACGGGUAGCCGGCCUGAGAGGGUGACCGGCCACAGUGGGACUGGGAUACGGCCGAGCCGCCUACGGGCGGCAGCAGUGGGGAGUGUGGGCGAAUGGGCGGGAGCCUGAAGCAGCAACGCCGCGUGCGGUAGGAGGGCGUGCGGGUUGUAGACCAAUAUCGCCCGUGACGAAGCGUGCGUGGCGGUAAUGGGUACAGAAGCACCGGCCAACUACGUG